GCGAGCGGCGGACGGGUGAGUAACACGUGGGUAACCUGCCCAAGAGACUGGGAUAACACCUGGAAACAGAUGCUAAUACCGGAUAACAACACUAGACGCAUGUCUAGAGUUUGAAAGAUGGUUCUGCUAUCACUCUUGGAUGGACCUGCGGUGCAUUAGCUAGUUGGUAAGGUAACGGCUUACCAAGGCAAUGAUGCAUAGCCGAGUUGAGAGACUGAUCGGCCACAUCGGGACUGAGACACGGCCCAAACUCCUACGGGAGGCAACAGUAGGGAAUCUUCCACAAUGGACGAAAGUCUGAUGGAGCAACGCCGCGUGAGUGAAGAAGGGUUUCGGCUCGUAAAGCUCUGUUGGUAGUGAAGAAAGAUAGAGGUAGUAACUGGCCUUUAUUUGACGGUAAUUACUUAGAAAGCCACGGCUAACUACGUGCCAGCAGCCGCGGUAAUACGUAGGUGGCAAGCGUUGUCCGGAUUUAUUGGGCGUAAAGCGAGUGCAGGCGGUUCAAUAAGUCUGAUGUGAAAGCCUUCGGCUCAACCGGAGAAUUGCAUCAGAAACUGUUGAACUUGAGUG
This 570-nucleotide ribosomal RNA is filed under the name uncultured bacterium. RNAcentral describes it as "bacterial SSU rRNA". It matches the Rfam family "Bacterial small subunit ribosomal RNA", at positions 91 to 648 of the family's 1533-position model. The record is from RNAcentral.